GACAAUUUGGCCGAGUUGGUCUAAGGCGUCCGACUCAAGAGUAAUCUUCCACUGAUUGCAGUGCAUUCGGAUCUCGUAAGAGGCGUGGGUUCGAAUCCCACAGUUGUCA
This 109-nucleotide transfer RNA is filed under the name Geotrichum bryndzae. RNAcentral's name for it is "tRNA-Leu". It matches the Rfam family "tRNA". From Rfam's summary of the family: Transfer RNA (tRNA) molecules are approximately 80 nucleotides in length. Their secondary structure includes four short double-helical elements and three loops (D, anti-codon, and T loops). Further hydrogen bonds mediate the characteristic L-shaped molecular structure. tRNAs have two regions of fundamental functional importance: the anti-codon, which is responsible for specific mRNA codon recognition, and the 3' end, to which the tRNAs corresponding amino acid is attached (by aminoacyl-tRNA synthetases). tRNAs cope with the degeneracy of the genetic code in two manners: having more than one tRNA (with a specific anti-codon) for a particular amino acid; and 'wobble' base-pairing, i.e. permitting non-standard base-pairing at the 3rd anti-codon position. The record is from RNAcentral. RNAcentral also lists the same sequence under 1 other name. Lineage: Eukaryota; Fungi; Ascomycota; Dipodascomycetes; Dipodascales; Dipodascaceae.